Long non-coding RNA from Cyprinus carpio carpio, 2414 nucleotides. Lineage: Eukaryota; Metazoa; Chordata; Actinopteri; Cypriniformes; Cyprinidae. The record is from Ensembl.
GCAACAGCUAAACAAACGCAGCAGCAGUUACACAGAAAAGAGAACAAAGAUGAGUUUGCAGAAAUUUGCACAGUUUCGAGGACGUUUUCAUAACAGUUAAGUUGUUUACAUUGUAUUUAGUUGUGGUUGCACAGUCUUAGUUACACAGAUUUGGGUGAUUUCAGUUGACUUUGUUCGUUAGCAACACGCUAACGUUUUGCCGUGCACCUGGUCCGAGGUCAAUGACAGAACAGAAAUGUCAGAGCUAACGUUAGGUCUAGGACGAAAAUGAAGAAUUGACAUCUGGUCACAUUUCACAUAUGACAACAAGACCGCCUGUAAACCGUGUGGAGCAAAAAUCGCUGGGAAAAACACCACCAACUUGAAGCGACAUUUACAGACGACUCAUCCAGAAAUACAUACCAAGAUACAGAAGACGUAUGAUGACAGUGAUGACCAUGGGCCAAGUGGAAAUAAAGCUAGUGCUGCUAGUGCAACCCAGCAGCAGGCCAUCUCUACAGCUUUCCUAUGUUCUUCAAAGUAUAAAAACGAAUCGAAGGAACAACAGACCAAGGAGCAGGCCAUAGCUAGAUGGAUUGGACGCACAGGUUUACCACUCACAACAAUUGAAGAUGAGGACUUUGUGCUAAUGAUGGAGAUAGUGGAUAGGAGACUAACAGUUCCAAAGAAAACUAAAAUGAGCAAUUUGAUUGAAACACAGUAUGAACAUGAAAUACUAAAAUUCAAAGAGAGACUGGCUGCUGCCCGGAGAGUAUCCAUUGGCCUUGACUUGUGGACAAAAAAAGGACUGACAGCCUCAUUCCUCGCUAUAAGUGCAUGCUACUUUUGUGUUGAACUAAGUAAACCUGUACAUAUAUUGUUGGCCCUUGAACAAGUAGCUCACCCACACACUGCACAGUCUAUUAAGGCAUGUGUGGACAAAUGUAUGCAAGAGUGGGCCAUACCAAAGCAGAAGAUCCUGACGGUAAUAACGGACAAUGGGAGUAACAUGGUGGCAGCCUUUAAAAACACCACAGCCGAAGAAACCAGCUCUGAGGACGACUCCCCUGGGUCCACGAUGGAAAGUGACUCUGAAAUUGAUGACCAGCGGUACCAUCAUGUCGAUAUGGAAAUGGACCGGACACCGUGUGUGGUGCAUACCAUAAAACUAGUGGUCCACAUGUUGCAGAAAGAGACAACUGUCAAAAGAGUCCUCGAUAAAGCAAGGUCUGUGGUGAAGCUCUUUCGCAAGUCCUCAGUUGCAACACAAAGGUUAUUGGACCAGUGUGGGGUUAUUGUUGUAAAUGACUGCCCCACGCGCUGGUCAAGCACAUUUAACAUGGUCACACGACUCCUCACAGUCAAAGAUGCAGUCUGUCAAAUCUCAAAUGACAUGGGAUGGGACAAUUUGCUUACUAGUGAGUGGCAAAAGCUUUCAUCAUUGCAUGACUUACUGCUGCCUUUUGCUGAACACACUAAAACCCUCCAGAGUGACACCACAUCAAUGUCCCUAGUGGUUCCUGCCCUUUUUGAUCUGCUGAGCCACCUAACUGACUUUGCAAAGAACACUCGGUACAGAGACCUCGUCACUCUUGCAGAGAAAAUGAGAUCAAAUCUGAACCAGCGUUUUUCUUGCCUCUUAGAUUCAACCGAUGAAAAGUUCUCAGCACUUGCAGCAGCUGCCUGCUUUGUUAACCCAACUGUCUGUGAAAUCCUUGUUAAUGUUGAUGUGGCUGAUGGAAAUAUCCAGGAACUGCUGAAACAGGCAGAAGAAUAUGUGGUCAAAUGCACUUUCCCACACACAAGACAGGAGGACCAGUCUGAAGAUGAUGCAGAAGAAGAGGUUAUUGAGGAACCAGAAGCAGCGCCAUCCUCAAAGCAGCCGGUGUUUAGGUUCCUCUCAAAAUGCCGCACCUCAAGGCCUAAACAGAAAACCUCCACAACUAGCAUCAGACAGCAGAUCAUCAAGUACGAGGAAGAACUUUCACAUCCCAUCACUGAGGACACAGGGACAGACUUCUGGCUGGCAAAGAGUGACAGUUUUUAUCACAAUUUAAAACCUUUUGCGUUAGACUUGUUGGCUAUGCCAGCUUCUCAAGCUUUUGCGGAGAGGGUAUUCAGCAUCACAGGUGACCUCACAAGAGGACGGCGCAACAGGGGAAGGGUCACAUUGGAGCGAAGUGCUUUACUUAAAAUGAACAGAGACAAAUAGAACUGUUGUAUUUACUGCUAUUUACAGCAUUUCCUGUAGUAGUAUAUGCACAACUUGAAAGUUACUGAUCUUGUAUUUUUGUUUUUUGUUUAAUAUGAGAGCAGAGGUUUUUUUUUGUUCCAUGCAAUAAUGGCAUUACAGCUUAGCAUGUAAUUCACUUGUCUUGAGUUGAGCUCAUUGAUAUUAGCUCAUUGAUACUACUUUUAAUUAUUAACAGAAGAAU